CUUCACACAUAUACACACAAAUAGCCCUUUCUUCACACACACACACACACAGCCCUUCAAGUAGGUUCUUAUUAACCCAAAGAAGACUUCCAUGUGAAGGAGACAGCAGGGCUGCUUGGCUUGCACCUGGAACCGCUUCAUGUUGCCCAGCCCCUGUGCCAGCUCGCAUCUCCCUGCGCCAGCUCACAUCAUCUCCGCACUCUUUCUGCAUCCUCCCAAUAAAUACCCGCCCAACUCCAUCGACAGCUCGAGGCUCCAUCAACCCAGCUCCAGGCCAUCCAGAACCUCGUUUAUCUAGGAAGACAGUCCUGCUGCAAGCACACAUUUGUAAGACCAGAUGACACACUCCAGAGCUGGCUUGAGGUUGCUCCAGCUGUGCCGCCAUGUGCAACAAACCCAUUCUUUCACAAGCUUGGAGCUGCAGGACAUUUUCCUGCCCAGUACUGUUGAGUUCUCAGGUGUGGAAGGCACUCCAGAGUGAGCCUCCUGCUCAGCUGGCCGUCCUGGGUGAAGCCAGCCACGCUGGCUUCGCUCCCCCUGGAGGAAACCUGGAUAAGCCUGAGGGCUUGGCAGAAGAGUGCGGGUCUGGCGUUCCUCACACAAGAAGCAGCUAUGAUGUGUCAGCUGGGAAAAUCCCACUGUGAGGUGAGCCCCACUCAGGCAUGCGAUCCUGUCACUGGUGGCCACAAGUUCACUGUUGUUGUUUUUUUGGAAUUUCGAUACAGGGUUUCUCUGUGUGGCUCUGGCUUCUAAACCUCACUCUGUAGACCAGGCUGUCCUGGAACUCACAGAGAUCUGCCUGCCUCUGCCUCCCGUGUGCUGGAAUUACAGGCGAGCACCACCACCCGGCUUGUAAGUUCACUGUUAAUGGAUCAACAUGUAACAAACAAGGUGCUUUCAAACAGAAGCACAGGUAGACAGGAGGGCCACAGGUCGGGGGAAAGCUGUGUCCAGAGGCUCACAGGAGCCCUAUUUCUCAUGGGAGCAGCGCUUCCACGGUCACCAGCUCCGUAAUCACAGCAGAUUUCUAAAACGAGACUACAGGUGCAAUGCCGGGGCCCACCUGGACUCAGCGAAUGAGAAGCAGCUCUCUGGCCUGGGGCUUGUGUUUUUAGCUUCAUGGGUGAUGCUGACGCUGGCCCUGGGCUGGGACCUCUGCCUGCCACGUUCAGAGCAGUUAAGCCAAGCCUUCAGGGUAGAGAUCUGAGAAUGUGGCUGGGCGCCCGGAGACUGUGUGUGGUGUGAGGCCGUGCUGUGAGCACAGCUAACAGUGCUAGGGACCCUGAGCAAGUCACCUAACCUAGGAGCCUCUGUUCCCCAGCUGCCUCAGGAGGUGGCAGUGUGCAGUGUGUGUUGCCUGGACACCCGCGUGUCUGUGUACGAGGACCCUGGAGCUCCGCUGACCCCAGGGAGAAAUGUGUCUUCUGAGGAAGAACUCACCACAAGAGAGACAGCAGACGGGUUUGGCACAGGGGCAGCAGUCCCUUGCCCUAGGAGGGACAGGAGGGGGAGGACAUGGAAGGCCACGUGGUGCCAGCCAGGCAGGUGAGCCUCUGAGCUGCAACUUGUGCCGUCUCUCCCUCAGUGCUCUUCAGGGAAAGCUUCCUCAAGAAUCUUGGUAAUGCUUGGGAACGAGAGGCCACACAGUGAGGAGCGGACAGCCGGCGUGUGGGACCGACGGGCCCGAGGGGAGAGGCCACACAGCCACGCUGCCCGGCUCGCUUGCCGGGGAAAUAGUUCCCAGCCGCAUCCCGUGCCCACACCUCAGCUUUGGAGGCCACCCAUGUCUGCGUCACCGGUCACCUCAAGCAGCUGGGCAGAGGAUUGAGACCCCGAGCCAGGUGGGACACAGCCUGAGACACCCACCUAGGGGAAACCGGGGACCCUGCUGGAGGCUGCAGCUCGUCCAGAGCUGGGGAAGGUGGCUUGAAAGUUCAUCCCCCACGUGUUCAGACGGGUGAGGUCAAGUCCCUGGUUCUGCCAGAGCUGGUGGCUACCAAAGAGUUUUGAAACGAUGCAAGAAGAGCCAGACCCACGGGGGUUUUCACACCAGUCCUUGUCGACGCACCUGGGCAGGGCAGCAUGCAUGGCGAGCCAACCAGAGCUGGCAGUUCUGUACGUCAGGGCACACUCUGCAGGGCUCUAGACGCCCGAGCCUGGGAGAGGCCGGCCUGAGGCAGCGUCCUCCCUCACCGGUUUAUAUGUGUUGUCAGCCAGCGAGUGCUAGCUCUCCAAGCCAGCUUUUCCUGCAGUACAAUUUCCUGCAGUAUAAAUGGAAUUAUAUUUCAGCCAGCGUUUCUCUGUUUGCUUUGGAUGGAUAAACUGUAUUUUUGCCCUUAUUCAUAACAGCCAAGAUACGGAAACAACCCAGAUAUCCGUCAGUAGGUGAUGGAUAAAGGAAAUGUGCUAUUUGAGCACAGCGGCCUAUUAUUGAGGCUUUAGAAGGGGGAGGGACUCCUGUCAAUUGCAGAGCAUGGAGGGAAAAGCCAAGAGGACUUUAUUCUGAUGUAGCCGGACAGUGAGAGUGACAGACACUGUAGGAGGUCACGUGUGUGAGGUAUGUGGAUAGUAAAACCCUUGGAAGCAGAAUGAGGGUGGUGAUGAGAAGUGCAAACAAACAAACCAUGGGAAUAAAGCUUGUGUUUCAAAAAGGAGCUGAGCGCCAGUGAUCUGCUGAGCAACGCAACGCCUGCCCUAAACAAUCGGUGUGACCGGGGUGGAGUGGAGGCAGGAGAGUCAGGAGCUCAGCGUCACCCGUGGCUACAUGUUGAGUUCAAGGCCAGUGUGGGCUAUACAAGACGGUAUAUCAAAACCCAAACCUGCGCGGUAUCAUGAAGCUCUUUAUGCCCAUGGUUUCCCCACUUCGCCCCACACAGAGACCCACGAAGGCAAAAACAUGUUUGGGGAAGUGACAAGUGGAAAUGACAUCAUAGGUGUGAUGCUUAGCCCCCUCACGGGACCUGGAGUCACCUCAGAGGCAGAUCCCUGGGCAUUUCUGUGGGUAACUGAGGAGGAAGGACACCCUAAAUGUGCCUCGUCCACCCAUGAGCCGAGGGCACCGCGGACGUUCCCCAACACGGGAGCCCGGGCUCCGCUGCCCACUGAGCCUCCCCUGUGCCUUGACUCUCCACUGGGAAGGCGAAGGUGGUGUCAGCCUCACAGGGUCUCCGGAUCCCCGUCGACCACGUAUGUCAGGCUGGCUGCAGUCACUGGUGAGUCAGCCUGGCUAUUAAUGCAGUUGCUACCUCACCACUUCUCAGCUGCUGACGUGUGCCGCACGCCCAGGCCUCCUGACCGGGAUCUGCUGUUCUUUCCAACACGUCACUCCGAGAGUGCACACAGCCCCGGCCUGCAGCCAGACUGCGACCAGCAAAGCCACCACCCCUGGGACCCUUCCAUCAAAGCCUGUGGAGCCAAGAGUGGAUCUACCCCUGGGAACGGAGGUGUAGAACAAGGAUCCGGCAGGGCGCAUCCAGGUCCUCUGAGGAGCCACCGGCUGCUCCUGUUAGCAUUUCGUUUUGGAAACACUGGGAACCAAAAAUAGAAGUUCUUGAGCAAAGCUUAAUCCUACUCCUGGCUUUCAGGCCAGCUGCUGGAGGGACUGCGACCCGGCCACCAGGGGGCACUGUCACCUGUGCGGGUGCUGGAAUUCGGGCCCCGCAGAUUCCCCAGGAAAGCCUUCCACGCCAGGUUCUGUGGCCCCCCCACGGACCUCCGCCUCCCAAUCUGAUGAAAAGCAACUUAAAAUCAGCCCAGUGCCCCCCUCCCUGGGGACCCCUCAGAGCUGGGCUGGCUCCUGACUUUUCUUCUCCUGGAUUCUUCCAGGACCCCCCUCCCCGGGCCUGACUGCCCGCUGAGUGUGAAAUACACAUCUGAGUGUCCAGCGGAUAGAUGUGUAGAAAGUGUGGUUCACAAAUUGCCAGCAGCCCCAAAGAGCAAACAUGUUAACAGUUUUAAAUCUGUAAUCAGCUUCGGCUGGUGGACAGACGUCCAUGGGCUUGGACAGCUGCUUUCACGGGCAGAGAAGGCCGAGGAAAGGAGGAAGCCGCAGGUCCCAGGCUGGUCCUUUUUAAACUUCCUGUCCUUUUAGGGAGUCUCUGCUCAGUGGGACUGGGCUGCUUCUCUCCUGCUUCCGGGAAGGGCAGAGCCUAGGGCUGGGUUUGGUGCUGUGGAGUAGCCUGUGGGGUUCCACUUGGGCUGUCCUAUUAGGGAGCUCAGGGCAAGUCAGUGGCCUUCCGUGCAUUUUAGUUCACUUCAAAUAUUUAGUUGUUUUUGCGUAUGUGUGUAGGAUCCGUGUUGGCAUAUGAGGGGCAUGUGUGCCAUGGCACACAGGUCGGAGGGCAACCUUGGGUGCUGUUUCUCAUCUUCUGCCUUGCCUUUGAGGCGGGAUCUCUCUUGUUUGCCACUGCUCUGUGUGGUCCAGACCAGCUGCAUGAGCUUCCAGGAGAGUCUCCUGUCUGCGUCUCCCACGUGGGAGCAGGAGUUCUAGAACUCCAGACGUGUGCCAGACCUGCUUUUCCAUAGGUUCAGUCAGGGAGCCAACUUUGGUCGUCAGGUUUGGCAGCAGGUGCCAUUACCUUCUGAGCCACUGCCCCAGCCCUGCACUUCACUUAACAAGCAGAAGUUGCCGGAGCUUUGAUGGAGCGACAGAAAAGGUGAGCGCGUUGUAGCAGAGAGAAGGGCAUGGCUGGAAGGGAAAACCGUGGAUAAGCAGAGAAGAGGAGAAAGGAGAGUCAGGCAGGCCCAGGCAGGAAGGCACUGGAUGGGCUUUUGGGGACUCGCUGGGAGACUCCCUAAUGCUGAGACCAAACCCUCUACUUCAGGGUCCUGAGUGACGGUACCAGGAAAUGGGGAAGAUGAGGCCAGCCAGGGACUCCCAGCUGCUUCCCACCUGGCUUCCAGCUGUUCUAUCUGGCCCCCAAGGCCAUAUUCGUUUUAUGUCUUUGAGGUGGUUCCUAGUCACCACCAUCAGCUAUGAGCUCCCCCUGGGGGGCCUGGCUCCCACUAGCUCCCACAGACUCCCACAGACUUUCACUGGCUCCCACAGGCUCCCACAGACUCCCACAGGCUCCCACAGGCUUUCACAGGCUCCCACAGGCUCCCACUAGCUCCCACAGACUCCCACAGGCUCCCACAGGCUUUCACAGGCUCCCACAGACUCCCACAGGCUCCCACUAGCUCCCACAGACUCCCACAGGUUCUCACAGACUCCCACAGACUCCCACUAGCUCCCACAGACUCCCACAGGCUCCCACAGACUCCCAUAGGCUCCCACAGAACAGGCUUUCACUGGCUCCCACAGACUCCCACUAGCUCCCACAGACUCCCACAGACUCCCACAGGCUCCCACAGGCUCCCACAGACUCCCACAGGCUCCCACAGGCUCCCACAGGCUUUCACUGGCUCCCACAGGCUCCCACAGACUUUCACUGGCUCCCACAGGCUUUCACUGGCUCCCACAGACUCCCACUAGCUCCCACAGACUCCCACAGACUCCCACAGGCUCCCACAGACUCCCACAGGCUCCCACAGGCUCCCACAGGCUUUCACUGGCUCCCACAGGCUCCCACAGACUUUCACUGGCUCCCACAGGCUUUCACUGGCUCCCACAGACUUUCACUGGCUCCCACAGACUUUCACUGGCUCCCACAGACUCCCACAGGCUCCUGUCAAAGACGCCAUGGGGCCCCGUACCCCAGGUCAGUAUCACAUUAUUGUUCCAAGGAGUUUCUCUCAGAGGAAGCCAUCGGCUUGCCAUUUCCUACAGAAUUCUUAGGCAGCCUAGAAGGCGGUAAACACACUUUGUUAACUAAAGGGUGAACUAUCGGAAGGAUGUGAGGGAGCAGUGUCUCCGAAUGUCUUCCCUGCCCAGGACCCAGAGCCUCUGCCACUGCCCCCUGCUCCCAAGCUGUGUCCUCACUGUCACUGCCCUGGGCCAGGACUGCAAGGGAAGACUGCACCUUUGUGUGCGAAGCAGCAAAUACAGAGCUCCAGCACAUGGUCCUCGCACAGCUCCACCGCACGGCACCAUUGUAGCCACCGUGUACCAUGCCACAGACUCAGACAAGCCCAACAGGAUGAGCUGAGGCCAGAGCACAACUGGAGGCCACAGGGGUGUCUGUGGCUGUAUCACCCUGAAUGUGCCCGGUGUCAUCUGAGGGGAAGAGACAGGCAGAGCCAGGAUCCGCAGCAAGCUCCACAUUCCAGGAGGUGGCGUGUGAGACGAGCCGCAGACAGCCAGGGAGCUCCAAAGAGCCACAGGAGCUCCAAAGAGCCACCGUGUUCCACACGUCCAGGGUCAGCACCAGGCUCGGCCUCCAGACCAGCCUGGAUUUCAGCCGCUGGCUUCCUUGCCGCAGGGGGCACCAGAGCCCUGCUACACAAGCUGUGCCCUGCGGCCCCCCUCUUCUAGUAACUGCUACAGUUCAUAGCCUGUCCCCUCUCCCCUGGACGUCCCACACCCUCUCAGCACCCUAGACAGGAAAAGGUCAGAACCAGGCUGUGCCUUGCUGGAGGGCAGGAGGGCCUAGAACCAGGGAACUGAGGACUUGCGCCAACACUAAAGCAUCAGGAGACUUGGGCUGCAAGACAGUGUCCUACCCCUGCGGAUAACUGCCCACCCACAGCCUUCUGGCCACUCAGGCAGGUCUCUGAAUAGCAGCAUAGCUAGAAGCAGCUCUCAGUGACCCCACAGGGAGAGGACAUGGCGGCAACCCCAGGACUGACGGAUGGUCUGGCUCCAGGGAGUGUCCUCCCUCCCGUUUCCCUCUGGGCCCCAGAGCAGGUGGUCUGAGGCCAGGAGAGGCGGCCCAGCUGGCUCCCUGGACAGCCAAGAUCAGCAGCAAGGCCAACGUCUGUUUUCCUCCCGGGCUACCCAGGCUGGUCACCACUUGCUGCUGUGGUUGCCUGGGGAACCACUUGCUAUUUUCAUGUAGACUCCAAAUAAGGAACCAUGGAAACGCUCUGGCAAGGCUGGUCUGGAGGUGACGCUCAGAGGCUGUGCCAGAAGGGAGAGCUUGGCGGGAAGAGGAAAGGCUCAACACUCACACACGCAGGCCCCAGUGUGGGGUGGGAGAGGGUGGCGGGGAGAGGUUGUGCCCAGAGAGAGGAGAACCAGUUCAUUCGCUCCCACGUGCUCCUCUCCCCUGCUGUCCACAGGACCAAACGUUCACGGCUCUGGACGCCCUGCUAGGCACGGAUACAACAAAUCAAGUGAGGUGUCCCAGUCCCACGGCGGGCUGCCACACAAGACACGGCAGUUCAGCAGGACCCAUGCGACCCCGGGCCUCGUGGGUGUCUGCUGCCAUCUUGGCCUGGGCUCUGAGUCUGAGGAGCCCACCUGCUGAAGUCCCCAGAAGAUGAAAGGUGUUUGCAGGCAGCGUGGGAAGGGGACACGCGUGGGCCAGGAGAGACUGAGUAUGCACUUCCAGAGUGUGUGUUCAACCCUGGGCGAAGCAGGAGCCAGGCCAAGAGCCAGCCCAUCCUGGGGGGGGGGGGGAUGAGAUGAUCUGGAACCGCCAAAGCAGUCAUGAUCAGGCCCCAGGUGGCACAAAUGCAGCCCGGGCCAUUCCCUGGAGAGAGGCUUCCCCGCCAUCCAUGAGAUUCGGGAGGCUCCACAGGGCAGCUAGGCCCGGAGGCUGCAGGAGGGAGCCUCCACUAGGAGAGCCAGGCGAGGGCUAGGGCCAGGCUGGCAGUCCCUUCCCAAAGCACACUGGGCAUGCCUCCAAGUGCCUUCUGCCAGCCUGGGGCCAUACCCCUGCUGGAAGGUGGAGGUGGUGUGCAGCAGAGGGGGACAAAUGUGGAGGAACGCAGCACCCACAGGUGUCAGGAACCAGCUGGACACAGCACCUGCCUCCCCCCAGGCCUGGGGCAGCCUUGUGACAUGGCCGUUUGAGCUUUAGCACCCACAGGUGUCAGGAACCAGCUGAGCACACACCUGCCUCCCCCCAGGCCUGGGGCAGCCUUGUGACAUGGCCGUUUGAGCUUUAGCACCCACAGGUGUCAGGAACCAGCUGGACACAGCACCUGCCUCCCCCCAGGCCUGGGGCAGCCUUGUGACAUGGCCGUUUGAGCUUUAGCACCCACAGGUGUCAGGAACCAGCUGAGCACACACCUGCCUCCCCCCAGGCCUGGGGCAGCCUUGUGACAUGGCCGUUUGAGCUUUAGCACCCACAGGUGUCAGGAACCAGCUGGACACAGCACCUGCCUCCCCCCAGGCCUGGGGCAGCCUUGUGACAUGGCCGUUUGAGCUUUAGCACCCACAGGUGUCAGGAACCAGCUGGACACAGCACCUGCCUCCCCCAGUACCGGGACAGUCUUGUGACAUGACUAGUUUUGCCCUCCUUGUGAACAUUAAGAAACUGAAGUUCCAAGAAGCUACCUGGCCUCACCAGAGCUGCAUCGAUGAAGUCAGGAUUCAAACACAGGCGUGACUCGGAAACCCAUUUCUACAAGGGCACGAAUACCCGAUGCAUCUCAGGAGCUGCAGAGUCCAAGAUGACAAGUACCGUGUCAUGAGAACCUAACGUGGGAGGGGACCACAGAGGCCGGACCUGUCCCAAACAACCUAUGCCCAUGAAGACUAGAAAUGAUGGUGGCUGCCUGUCCUCAGAUCAUGACAGAAAAAGUCACCCACAGAAAGAAGCAGGGCUCCCAGGCUUCUUCAUUCUCCUCCUUCUCUUCCUCUCUCUCUAUCUCUGUCUCUUUCACACACACAGAUGCACACGCACACCAGACAGACACACAAUCCACUGUGCUCCUUGCUACUGGCUCACAGAGGCAAUGAGCAUAACAACCAGCAGUAAACAGAACCAAGCUUGGGGGCAGCUGGUUUACUAACCUGAGCUGGAAGUGUGUAAAAUGGGGUGAGGCGAGGGGCAGCACCUCCAGCCCCAGCACUCACACUCAGCCAGGACAGGCCGUACUGUUUACUGGGUACCACAGUAAGCAGUUGGGGCUCGCUCUAAUUUGGGUCUGGCUUGCACAUAUGUGAAAAGCUUGCCUGCCAGGCUAUGGUACCAGGGCAAGGCGUGGGGCCUAGUAGAAGGAAUUUAGCCCUGAAGAGGAUGUUGGACUGUCAGCCUUCCCUUCCACGGCUUUGAUCCCUGGCUAUCGUCAGGUGAAGAGCUGGCUCCGUUCACCCCACCCUCUCGAUGCCACUCUGCAAGCCCAGAGGCAAAGGAACGAUGAGCUGUAGGCUGAAGCCUCUGAAACAGUGGGCAAAACUGUUUUCAUCCUUUGAGCGGAUGAGCAUGGCACAGAGAAACCCCACAGCAGCUGAAGGUUGCACACCGAAAAAGUUAAUGCCUUGCACCUGCUGGUUUGCAAAUAUCCUUGCAUGGUCCGGGAGCCCAGGGAGGAAAGUGGAAUCAUGCUGUCAGGCUGCCUGGUUGUGAAACAGAGAGCCAAACACCACAGGUUCACAGCAUGAAACAACUGUCCAGGUGACGUGAUACCUGGUGUCCUGGACAGAAGUGGCAGGGCCAGGCUUCAGACCUGCACCAGAGGGAUGGUGUCUGCCUGGGGUGUGCCCCGGCCCUCCCUGCAGGACCUCCUGGGGUCUGGACUCUGAACACAGAUUUCCAGCUUUGGCCCCUGGCAGAAGUUAUCAGCAGGCUGAGGAUGCCCAGUGACCAGGAGGCAGCAGGUAAGGUGUCAAGAAAAUCCCUGCAGCAGA
This is a long non-coding RNA of Meriones unguiculatus (Mongolian gerbil), 9676 nucleotides long. RefSeq lists it as uncharacterized. The record is from RefSeq and is a predicted model, not a curated record. Lineage: Eukaryota; Metazoa; Chordata; Mammalia; Rodentia; Muridae. The transcript has 3 exons.